This 444-nucleotide ribosomal RNA is filed under the name Citrobacter freundii. Its description in RNAcentral is "partial 23S ribosomal RNA". It matches the Rfam family "Bacterial large subunit ribosomal RNA", at positions 2358 to 2801 of the family's 2925-position model. Lineage: Bacteria; Pseudomonadati; Pseudomonadota; Gammaproteobacteria; Enterobacterales; Enterobacteriaceae. The record is from RNAcentral.
CAUAAGCUAGCUUGACUGCGAGAGUGACGGCUCGAGCAGGUGCGAAAGCAGGUCUUAGUGAUCCGGUGGUUCUGAAUGGAAGGGCCAUCGCUCAACGGAUAAAAGGUACUCCGGGGAUAACAGGCUGAUACCGCCCAAGAGUUCAUAUCGACGGCGGUGUUUGGCACCUCGAUGUCGGCUCAUCACAUCCUGGGGCUGAAGUAGGUCCCAAGGGUAUGGCUGUUCGCCAUUUAAAGUGGUACGCGAGCUGGGUUUAGAACGUCGUGAGACAGUUCGGUCCCUAUCUGCCGUGGGCGCUGGAGAAUUGAGGGGGGCUGCUCCUAGUACGAGAGGACCGGAGUGGACGCAUCACUGGUGUUCGGGUUGUCAUGCCAAUGGCAUUGCCCGGUAGCUAAAUGCGGAAGAGAUAAGUGCUGAAAGCAUCUAAGCACGAAACUUGCCCCG